CAAACAUGUAUUGAAUCAGUUUCCUUCAUUCUUACAGAGUGGGGAACUCAAAAUUGAGGGGAAUGUGGUGGAAUUAGGCUCAAGGAUUGGUUCAAGUGCCAAAGGACCCUGCAGAAGAUCAAGUAUUCAGAAGAACAGCCAUUUUCUAGCUGGGGAGCCCUGCUGAUCUGGCUACAAGAGCUUCCAGCACUAUUCCAGUCUUCAUUAACUCAUCACAUACAAUACAAAGAAGUGAAUUGCACUGGAUUAGUCAAAUGUCUGCAUGGAUUUAUAAGGAAUGAGAGAUCCACGCAGAAUGUUCUUGUGGGCUUAAAGAAGAACCUCUGACGAAGCAGAAAGCUAUAAGUUUGAGGGGGAAAAAAGAGAAGAGAGAGGCUGGGUAUAAAAUAGCGACCAUCAACCAUCCCUAAUGUUCAUUAAUGUUCCUGUCAUGAACGCCUGUGGGCAUUCCCUGGAAGAAUUCCCUUCAUGCCUGGCACAGUGUGUCCCAAAGUGAUGCUAACCCCUAGAUGUUGAAGAGGAGGAUGACAUCACACAGCUCUGGUUGAAGCCAUCUGCUCAUGGUGCUGAACUGGAAGGUGAGCUCCUGCAGAAACGCGGCCCUCGUUGAGAGUAUUGAGCUUUGCUGAAAGUCCUGACUCUUUUCCACAUUCACAAGGACAGCCUUACAAUGCAAAGCCUCUCCUUGGCAUAAGGACAGAUGCAAGCUUAUAACAGUAUGCACUUAGUUAUAGAGGUAAUUUUAUUUGCCUUUGUUAGAAUCUUUAAUAUAAAACUCAGUAAAAUGACCUCUCUAAUAAAAAUGGCUCAGAGAAAUAACAAUAAACAGGUUUUAUGAUACGGAAGAUGCAUUUAAAAAAUCCUGCUAAGGAAAAUGAUCUUAGGAGUCUCAAGAAAAUAUUAAUAUGAAAGGAGAGACUUUUUCCCUAUCCGCUACAAUCAAAGAUGGGUGGUCUGCAUGCCACGUGAGCUUCCUUGCUCCAGCUCUUGUGGGCAGGAGGAGGGGAAGCUGUACUCUAUCUCAGUAAUGAACUCUGACUGUCCAGGAAAGCAUUUAUUUUUGCAAAAUUAAAAAGGGGGGGAGUCAAUGGAUCUGUUUAUAGCUAUAUAAAAAGGCAGAAAAGUUAAUGCUAACAUAUGUUGCUUCAUGUUCCCAGAGCAAAAACAUUUGCAGGAUAAUAUCCCGGAGCGCAGGUGGUAAGCGAUCAAUACUCUUAUUUGUUUUUAAGGGAUGGCAGAACUGCUCACCUAUAGGAGUUGCAGUGAAUGCGUAGAACCCCUACGGACACAUGGCAUUAAUGUACGGGUGUUGUAGGCGUUUUAUUACAUAGACUUCAGGAGUUGGCACUCAGCUACCAGGAUCUCUAUAGCUUUUGUUCAGUGGGAGGUGUCCAUACCAAGCACAGUUCUAGAUCCUAAUGGGGUGGAAGGACAUGUGCCACAGGGGAAUCCAUGGAAAAUUGAAUCAUGGUCGUGUCUUCUGCUGGCUGAGCAGGUUUCUUCUGUUAUCUAGCAUGAAUCACAUCCAAUUCCAGUGUCACAUCUCUAGAAAAUGAUGAAAAUGCUUUCUUUCUCCUGCUUAUUGAUACAGGAUGUUUAGGUCAGGAAUAGACUCCUGGCCUGAGCUUUUAGACUGCAUGGCCCCAGAGCUGCAAACUCAUGUAGCUAACCAUGCACUACCACUAUGAUGAUAUCCAGAGAUGUCAUCUCUCUUUACGGAUCUACACAGACUGUAGAUUUUUCUUCAGGGAUACAUGCCCCUAGAGAUAAAUCUUCCUCUCUUUAAUCCAAAACAUCCAACUGGCAAUUACUUGCAUCUCACAAAGAUUUCACUGGAAGUGACCUUUGGUGGUUUUGGGACAAAACGUGAACCUUUCAUCUUUCCCGUGGCUGUAAGUGAUCAGAUAGAGGCAAAACCCUAUUUCCUGCCUUCCCAUACCUGCUGAGAGGGAGCCGGGGGGCUGCUGGUGUGAGAUCACCAUCUUUCAGAGGACAGCAAAAUGCUUUAUGAAGACUGUGAUCUAAAUACAGAUGAGAUAGCUGGCAAGGCUCCAGCUAUUGCUUCAGGACCUUGUAUAUCUUCUCUGCCUUCAGGACCCAGGUGUUGCCAGUUACCGCCAGUAUUCCUGACGUCAGAUAUGGUUUCUUCCAUUCAUGAGGCCAACGGAACAGUUGACCACAAAGAGUCUAACCCUAGGUGUUUUGUUUGAGAGACAUGUAGUACUUUUUUUCCAUAGAGAGGGAAGGUACUUUGUGCUCACUGUACUGGGCCUUCAGUUCGCUUUCUCAUUCAGACCAGGGCCAGGUAAGCCAAGAUAAACUGGGAACUCUGGAAGUGUAGGCCCUCUUCUUCCCAUUGUCCCCAGACUAGAAGAUGGUCUGGUGGUUCAAGCUGGGUUAUGCUGGGCCCCUGCCUGCUUUUUCUUGGACUUGUGCAUAUUAAUGUUUCCAUCGAGCACUUUGAUCAUUGGCAAACUGUUCUCUGCCAGCAUUGUUCCAUCAGAGAGUUUGAAAGCUCAUCUUGAGAGAAGAUUAACUAAUAAUCAGUGAUGCUUUUGUUACAUGCAUUCCCACAAGACCCACUGCUGGUGACUUGACUGAAAACAUGAAUGAAUUGAGCUUUACUCCACGUCUGCGAGUUAGAGAAAUAUGUCAUUUUAACUUUUUCAGUAACAUAAGCAGUUUUUCAGAACAUUAAACUCACUGGACACAACACAACUAGAGAGUUUUGCUGUUUUCCUCCAGCUGCUAACAGAGCUAAAUGUUUUCCCAGUGUAAAUAGCAGGGCCAUGGAUGGGGUCAGCUCCCCUCCAGCCCCACUCUGUGUCAUGGCCGUGCAAACGCCACCUGAGCAAUUCUCCUUGGACUGCAUUGUAGUAAAGAACAUCGGGAAAAUGAUUCCAAAAUUGAAGGCUAUCCUGAUGUCUUUACUAGCAAUAUCUGUUUUUAAAUUGAGUGAGCUCUGGCUUGUGUCUCUAUCUGUUCCAGCUGCAGAAUUAUGGCUGGAGGACAGAGGCACUCUCCUGGGUGUGAAAUAUUGCAAGGAGGGAGUGCAUUCCGAACACAGGGGUGGCCUGGCAGAGGAGGGUACCAUGGAGAAGUGGUUAGACCCAGAAAGAAGCUGAACGUUAGAUCUGCAAACACGUUUCAAGUUCUCUGGUUUUGAGAAAACUUCCUAGGGUUUUAAUUCAUCGUUUCUCUUGUUUUUGCAGCAAGAACAACUGUGGUUACCUCACUGCUCUGGCUCUGUGCUGACAGAGGGCACUGGGGAGAGAUCUAUCACUGCUGAUGUUGAGGCUUUGCCGAUAACCUCUGCCCGGGGCUGGGUGAAGCUACAAACGCUGCCCAGUCUUCGGAGGUACAGGACCAGUCUGUCAGGCUGUUGGCACACAACAACAAUUGUUUUAUUGUCAGAGUAAGUAAAUAAGAACAAGAAGUCUUAAGUAUUGGCAUAUGUUGAUACGUGGCCAAAAAGGUCUCUAAACAAUACAUUUUCUUUUCAUUCCAGAAACCUCAUACUCCGUUAUUUCUCUUUUAAUGCUGUUGGCAAAUACCCAUGUCACCAUCUAAUUUUGACUAUAGUUCAACUUUUUUAGUGCAAACUUAAUCCUCAUUAUAGUUGUAAACAUGUGUUUCAUUUGGCCUCGUGCUCAUGUGCUAAAGUGACAAAGGCAAUCUAGGGUUUGUAUCAGAAAUGGAGAUGUAUAGGUAAGCAUUUUGUUCAAUCUGCUUUGCCUCUUAUACAGAGAAAAUCAGCCCAGUUGCUUAGUAAGGAAGAAUGUUUUUAUAAGGCUCUUUGUGCUCUCGUGCUUGGCCUGUUUCCUGCUCUGCAGCGGGUUUUGGAAAGAUGGGACACUUCAAGGGAAAACGAGCAAGUGAAUCAAGGAACUGUUGCAAGAGCCUUUGGGAUUUUGUGUAGUGAGCAUCUUCUAUGUUUUCACGCGUUCUUCAGAAAUAGUUUUUUCAUAUUUUUUUUAGUUUUACGUUACUCAGUUUUCACACAGAAGAUUCAAGUUUGCAAAUUACUGCUAGGUUAAGUCUACUAGGAAGAUAUCAAGCAGCAGGAGCAGUUUGGCACCAAGCAAAGGAGAGAGGUCUGUUCCUGGCAAUGGCGUGCAGUGUGAUGGAAGGAUGCUUGGUGGCAGUUCCCAUCCAAUGGUAAUCACGCUGAAGCAGAAAAUAUAUGCAGAAAUUCCCUAGCAGGCACAGCCCAUCUGCUUGGGCUGCUGUGGGGACCACAGUUUUAACAGCUGGCAACUUGGUCAGAGUUUGUCUGCACUUUAAAGAGAAACAGUUUGCUACAAAACAUUUUUCUAUAUUCAAAUACACACUUGAGCCACAAGCAUUUCUCCGUGUUUGCGUAUACCACUGAGUCACAAAUUGUAUUUAAAUAGGUCCCAAAUUCAAUCCAUACAUCUCCAGUCAUUUUCACCCCAUUAUCCUUUCUGUUUCUUGCUAUUUUUCUCACCGAGUGGUGGUAAACCCCAGGCCCAUUCUCAAGCAUGUGGUUGAUAUAAGAGGAAAGGAAAGUUCUUUUCAAAUAUUAAAAUGUUUUUAAAUGCUGUUUUAUAGCAAUCAUGGUCAUCUGCAAGGAAUCAGUUUUCAAAGAAGCAUUUGACGGACUGACACCCACUGGAGCCGGGGACAAGAUGAAAUGCUCCGAUUCAAAGCAGAUUAGGACUUGCUGUUCUGGAAAUCAAGUGAGUUUUGAAGAGGCUGAUGAAGCUCAAUUUCAAAACUAUCAAUCUGGUUUUUAAAAUGUGUUGGGAUCCAGACUGGCUAUAGCAAAAUAGAGUUUUACACCAUACAGUGGUCAUCCCUAUUUGACAACGGUGGAAGACUGUGACUGUACAAUAGCUAUUGAUAAUCCUUCUAUAAAGGACUAAUGCCUACUGAGUGACACGGGGCAUUGCUCUCAACACGGGAUAUAUGCUUCCAAGGUACCUGCUCUGCGAGGACCACAGCCAGCUGAGAACUGAAAGCUAUGGGAGAGCGUGGCAUGCUUUGUAGAGAGGGCAACAGUAAGGAGAAAUGCUAAACAUAUUAGACAAAUCAUCUCUUCUUUCAUUGAACAACUCCAGCCAUGACCUCUGAUCCUCUUGGUAAAAGCUGAAUUUAAUUUCUGCUGUCCCCCACCCAAUAUUUCUUGUGCAUUUGCUAUAUAGCUUCCUGCAAUCCCAUUUAUUGCUCUCCAGAGCUCACAGAAUGUUUGCUUCCUGCAAACUUCGAUUUAUAUUUUUGCCAUUAACUGUAGAUACUCUUUUGUUUGCACACUUAGAGAACUUUCAGUAUUAAGUUUCAAUGUGUUAACAUGGAAUAAACUGGAAAGAAACUAUUUCUUGGUUGGAAUUGAUCAGGUCCUCAGCUGAAUGGUCACAUUUCAGGUUGUUGGAAUUACACAGAGGCAGCUCUUGCGUUUUCCAUUGGUUGAGCUGUCUUUACUGCAUAUCCAGG
This is a long non-coding RNA of Gallus gallus (chicken), 5454 nucleotides long. NCBI's taxonomy places the organism in Eukaryota, Metazoa, Chordata, Aves, Galliformes, Phasianidae. The record is from Ensembl.